Molecule: ribosomal RNA, 198 nt
Filed under: uncultured bacterium
Lineage: Bacteria
Description: partial 16S ribosomal RNA
Rfam family: Bacterial small subunit ribosomal RNA
Source: RNAcentral
ACGCUCGACACCUACGGGAGGCAGCAGUGGGGAAUAUUGCACAAUGGGGGAAACCCUGAUGCAGCGACGCCGCGUGAGCGAAGAAGUAUUUCGGUAUGUAAAGCUCUAUCAGCAGGGAAGAAACUGACGGUACCUGACUAAGAAGCACCGGCUAAAUACGUGCCAGCAGCCGUGGUAAUCUGAGCGGGCUGGCAAGGC